UGGGGGAUAUUGCACAAUGGGGGAAACCCUGAUGCAGCAACGCCGCGUGAAGGAAGAAGGUCUUCGGAUUGUAAACUUUUGUCCUCAGUGAAGAUAAUGACGGUAGCUGAGGAGGAAGCUCCGGCUAACUACGUGCCAGCAGCCGCGGUAAUACGUAGGGAGCGAGCGUUGUCCGGAUUUACUGGGUGUAAAGGGUGCGUAGGCGGACUGACAAGUCAGUGGUGAAAACUAUGGGCUUAACCCAUAGACUGCCAUUGAAACUGUUGGUCUUGAGUGAAGUAGAGGCAGGCGGAAUUCCCGGUGUAGCGGUGAAAUGCGUAGAGAUCGGGAGGAACACCAGUGGCGAAGGCGGCCUGCUGGGCUUUAACUGACGCUGAGGCACGAAAGUGUGGGUAGCAAACA
RNAcentral lists this ribosomal RNA (402 nucleotides) under uncultured bacterium. RNAcentral describes it as "bacterial SSU rRNA". It matches the Rfam family "Bacterial small subunit ribosomal RNA", at positions 355 to 774 of the family's 1533-position model. The record is from RNAcentral.